UACGUAGGUGGCAAGCGUUGUCCGGAUUUACUGGGCGUAAAGAGCGCGCAGGCGGUCGUUCAAGUCGCGUGUGAAAGCCCCCGGCUCAACUGGGGAGGGUCACGCGAUACUGAUCGACUCGAAGGCAGGAGAGGGAAGUGGAAUUCCCGGUGUAGUGGUGAAAUGCGUAGAUAUCGGGAGGAACACCAGUGGUGAAGGCGACUUCCUGGCCUGUUCUUGACGCUGAGGCGCGAAAGCUAGGGGAGCAAACGGG
RNAcentral lists this ribosomal RNA (253 nucleotides) under uncultured bacterium. RNAcentral describes it as "partial 16S ribosomal RNA". It matches the Rfam family "Bacterial small subunit ribosomal RNA", at positions 524 to 776 of the family's 1533-position model. The record is from RNAcentral.